RNA transcript from Hippoglossus stenolepis (Pacific halibut), 3626 nucleotides. It is a transcript of the gene named platelet-derived growth factor alpha polypeptide b, with no coding region annotated. NCBI's taxonomy places the organism in Eukaryota, Metazoa, Chordata, Actinopteri, Pleuronectiformes, Pleuronectidae. The record is from RefSeq and is a predicted model, not a curated record. The transcript is spliced from 7 exons.
CAUAUGCAGCGGCUCAGACGCGCUCAGACUUCAUUCACUCCAGAGUCCCGCACAGUCAAGGAGCCGUGCGCGCAGCUGCAUAGACACACUGCUGCAACGCGGGCUCUGCGUGGCACAACAAGGACAACUUUCUCCCCUGUGAUUUUCUGAGAGGAUCUGCUCGUUUGGAUUAUAUUCUCGCAGGACUGUCCCAGAGACACGAACACAGCCGUGCGUCUUGAUUCCCACACAAGAAGGAGAGCUGGGUUUCUUGUUUGAUCUCCACGUGAACUGGGGCUGAGGUUUCAAGCCUCUUUUUUUGUCUGUCAGAGGGUGAAGGACAAGUGCAAUGCGUGUCAGACUCGUCUCUUGGGAUUGUCCCGCUUGUGCCUGAGGAGCUAUGUGGAGCCGCGGCGCAGAGCUCGUUCCACGGGACGCGCGGCCAAUGUGAAUAACAAGCGUCAACUUUCCAGCCUCCUCAGCCUUUUCACACCCACGAGCCAAGUGCUGCCCGGAGUCUGACCGAGCCCGCCGAGCAGCUCUGACACCCCGGCUUCUCUCCCAUGAGGGGAUGGUUGUGGAUCCUCUGGGGCCAGGAGCGACUCUGCGGCUCCUUCAGAACAGCGCGUUUUUCUUGUUUGGGGUUCUUUCUAAAUUAAAGGGAGAUGAGAGCCGCACUUUGCCACCUCCUGCUGUGGACGGCGUACCUGCUGCUGGCCACCGCUGAGAAGGAAGUGCAGUUUCCCCAGGAGCUGAUAGACAGACUGUCCCACAGUGAAAUCCACAGCAUCAGCGACCUCCAGCGGCUACUGGACAUUGACUCCGUAGGUACGGGAAACGAUGUUAUCGAGGAGCCCAAGCACCACAAGCACCACAACCACCAUAAGAACUUCUCCCGUCACCACGGUCACUACAAUGACCUGAAGAGCUCCCAGCUCCACAGCCGACGCAAGAGGAGUAUUGUAGAGGAAGCGGUCCCAGCGGUGUGUAAGACGCGGACGGUGAUCUACGAGAUCCCCAGGAGCCAGGUGGAUCCCACGUCUGCCAACUUCCUGAUUUGGCCGCCCUGUGUGGAGGUGAAACGCUGCACGGGCUGCUGCAACACCAGCAACAUGCGCUGUCACCCUUCCCGCAAGCACCACCGCACGGUCAAGGUGGCCAAGGUGGAGUAUGUGAGGAGGAAACCCAAGCUGAAAGAGGUCUUUGUGCGGUUAGAAGACCACCUGGAGUGUGUGUGCACGUCACAACAUCACGUGGUGGAGCACUCAGAAGCAGAAACAGGCCACCGUAGGUCUAAAGGUAGAAAAAGGAAACCUAAAAAGCUAAGGCCCAGCAAGGAUUUAUUGGCGACAUAAUAAAGUUGCGCUCAUUACCCAAAGUCCACUGGAGAGCUGUGAAGGGAACAGUGGACGUGAGGUGAGACCAAUCAGAACAAGGGACUUCAGUGUGGGAGGAACCUAAAAAGAGGACGUCAACAAACAUGAGACCUGCUCGGUCCUCUUCCCCACUGCCGUGCAACCUCCGUCUAAAAAAGACAAACAUUUCUGUAAAAAUGAGCGACAGAAAAAUAGACAACAGACAAAAAUACAUAAGAUGCCAAAGGUGCUUUUUUUAUAUUAAAAAAAAACAGUGAUUAUGGAUGAUGUCUUCCUCUGUGGUGCGCUACCUAUACCCAGACAACUGAACCCUGCCAAUGAUUAAGAAGAAAUAUGCUGUGGAGCUCGGGCAGAAAGAGGCCGAAGGGAGAUGAUGAAAGGGAUUUGUGUUAAACAUUUUGACCGACGUUGUUUGAACAAGAUGUGCAACAGAAAUGGCCAUAAAACAGUUGUUUCAGGCUUUCGUGGGAAUGUGGUGCUCAGACUCCAAAACAGCAGUGGAUGUCCUCCAGCUGGGCGACAUAAAAGUGCCCUGCCCUGUUUAAAUGACUCUUGCAUACACAGGAAGGAAGAAAGAGAGAUAAAGGAAAACAAUGGCGAGCACUGGAGUUAUGGAGGUGUUUUUUCUCUCCAAAGGACUCUCAAUGGAGCAUUAAACAAUUUGAGUUUUUGGAUGUUUGCUCUGAGUGGAGAGAAAAUCCUCUCUGAGAGUCCUGGUGGUCUGUGACUUUUCCCACCUGCUGUGCGCAUUAAAAUCUGAAAAGAACGCAUCGCUACUCACAAACUAUUUAUAUAUGUGGACGUUUGAUUUUUUUUUUAUUGUCUCAGUGCAAAAGGAAGACAGAAAGAACAAAAAAGACAUUUUCAUGAUUUUGGAGACAUGCAAGAGUCCUGUGUGGUGCAGUUCUUUGUAACCAUCAGUAUCACAAUCUCAAUGUCAUUUGUUGUUAUCCUUGUCAUCCAUGUUUCUUAUUAUAUUACAGUAUAUCUGAAUGAUGUCAAGUGUUGUAAAUGGUUUGGAUAUAUGUGUGCAAGGAGGAGACGUGAGAGUCAGUACAGGAAGAUGCUUUAUUUUUGUUAUGAAAUAUAUUAUGCUUACUUAUAUCCAAGCAGGAAUUAUGUUUAAUUCUUUUGUUGUGGUUGAAUGUCUGUAUUUAAUCCUUUGGAAAAGAUGCAAAAAACGUGGGCAGGGGGUGGAAUAGACAAGGGAAAAAAAUGGCUGCCAGUGCUUGUUACUGUGUGUGCAUCAGUGUGUCAGAGCUAUGAAAAGGUGGGACUGACUGGCUCAAACAUGGCAACCUUAGUGAGUGGCCAUACUGUAGCUUAUUCUAUGAUAAGCAUGUAACAAGUUUGUGCUCACCAACCACAUUUUUUUAGAGAAAAUCUAACGUGCAAGUAUGUAUGUACUGAUAGACGGCGUGUGUAUGUAUGUAUGUGUGUGUGUGUGUUAGUGUGCCCGCACAAGAUUUCUCUGCUACGUGAUGCAAGUUUUCAUUCAUAUCACUUUAAUGUUGAUAAGGAAGAUGCACGCCCGUUCUGCUUCACAAACACACAUGUUGUGCCUGGAAAGAGCAAAGUCCACCUGAAAGAGUGAAUGAGCGAGCAAAGCAUAUCGACAAGCGCAUGAAUGGGCUCCUUGUUUAGCCAGUCUUCACUCCUCUGUUGACAGGGGAACAAAUCUCUGAUCGCUCCACCCUUUGAAGGGACUCGCACCUUGUGCAGCCACAUGCCAUCGGGACAGAUGAUGAUGGGUGCCCAGAGGUGGCCUGGAAACAGCACAGUGCUGGCCUGAACCUGUGACCCCGAUGCGAUAAACAAUUACUGCCUUACCAGUUCCUGUAACAGUGAUGAAUGUGUAACCAGGCCAACCCGGUGCAAAAACAACCCCCCCUCCGUGUUCAAAAGAAGAAGAGAAUUUCUCUAGUAAUCAAAGGCGAGUCACGUGAAAGUCGAGAGAGAAAAACUGACUGAAACAUGGAUGUAUCAGCAACUGCUGAGCUGUGAAUUCACCAACCAUCAUUCGUGUGGUGCUCUAUUUAUAAGGCUGAUGUUUCAUCACUGUCCACAUCUACACCAGUGUUGUUGUUCUCAGUAAAACAGGGACCAUGCUUGGAGAGACUUGACUUAAGCAAAAAUGCCGUCACACUAUCACUUGGCCUUUACUACUUUUCUUUUGGGCUUCCAUUGGAUAAAUACAGCAGUAAUCAUAAUUUAUAUAUAUAUUUAUGUUUUCAACAAUAAAUAUAUUUCUGCUUAUGAAAUUGUUCACUG